GUGGGGAAUAUUGGACAAUGGGCGCAAGCCUGAUCCAGCCAUGCCGCGUGCAGGAAGACGCAUCUAUGGUGUGUAAACUGCUUUUGUACGGGAAGAAACACUCCCUCGUGAGGGAGCUUGACGGUACCGUAAGAAUAAGGAUCGGCUAACUCCGUGCCAGCAGCCGCGGUAAUACGGAGGAUCCAAGCGUUAUCCGGAAUCAUUGGGUUUAAAGGGUCCGUAGGCGGUUUAAUAAGUCAGUGGUGAAAGCCCAUCGCUCAACGAUGGAACGGCCAUUGAUACUGUUAGACUUGAAUUACAAGGAAGUAACUAGAAUAUGUAGUGUAGCGGUGAAAUGCUUAGAUAUUACAUGGAAUACCAAUUGCGAAGGCAGGUUACUACUUGUGGAUUGACGCUGAUGGACGAAAGCGUGGGGAGCGAACAGGAUUAGAAACCAUUGUAGUCC
This 445-nucleotide ribosomal RNA is filed under the name uncultured bacterium. RNAcentral describes it as "partial 16S ribosomal RNA". It matches the Rfam family "Bacterial small subunit ribosomal RNA", at positions 354 to 796 of the family's 1533-position model. The record is from RNAcentral.